UACGAAGGGGGCUAGCGUUGCUCGGAAUCACUGGGCGUAAAGGGUGCGUAGGCGGGUCUUUUUAAGUCAGGGGUGAAAUCCUGGAGCUCAACUCCAGAACUGCCUUUGAUACUGAGGAUCUUGAGUUCGGGAGAGGUGAGUGGAACUGCGAGUGUAGAGGUGAAAUUCGUAGAUAUCAAGCGGAACACCGGUGGCGAAGGCGGCCUCUGGACAGUGACUGACGCUGAGACGGCGAAGGCAUGGGGAGCGAACGGGG
Molecule: ribosomal RNA, 256 nt
Filed under: uncultured bacterium
Lineage: Bacteria
Description: partial 16S ribosomal RNA
Rfam family: Bacterial small subunit ribosomal RNA
Source: RNAcentral